RNAcentral lists this ribosomal RNA (319 nucleotides) under uncultured bacterium. RNAcentral describes it as "bacterial SSU rRNA". It matches the Rfam family "Bacterial small subunit ribosomal RNA", at positions 470 to 789 of the family's 1533-position model. The record is from RNAcentral.
UGACGGUAGCCAACGAAUAAGCCACGGCUAACUACGUGCCAGCAGCCGCGGUAAUACGUAGGUGGCGAGCGUUGUCCGGAAUUAUUGGGCGUAAAGAGCAUGUAGGCGGUUGCUUAAGUCUGGAGUGAAAAUGCGGGGCUCAACCCCGUAUGGCUUUGGAUACUGGGCAGCUUGAGUGCAGGAGAGGAAAGGGGAAUUCCCAGUGUAGCGGUGAAAUGCGUAGAUAUUGGGAGGAACACCAGUGGCGAAGGCGCCUUUCUGGACUGUGUCUGACGCUGAGAUGCGAAAGCCAGGGGAGCAAACAGGAUUAGAUACCCUG